Molecule: non-coding RNA, 46 nt
Organism: Felis catus (domestic cat)
Lineage: Eukaryota; Metazoa; Chordata; Mammalia; Carnivora; Felidae
Source: Rfam
UCAAAGGCUCUUUUCAGAGCUGUUCACAGUUUCUGAGAAACUGCUU